RNAcentral lists this ribosomal RNA (446 nucleotides) under uncultured bacterium. RNAcentral's name for it is "partial 16S ribosomal RNA". It matches the Rfam family "Bacterial small subunit ribosomal RNA", at positions 330 to 792 of the family's 1533-position model. The record is from RNAcentral.
GCCAGACUCCUACGGGAGGCAGCAGUGGGGGAUAUUGCACAAUGGGGGGAACCCUGAUGCAGCGACGCCGCGUGGGUGAAGGAGCGUUUCGGCGCGUAAAGCCCUAUCGGCAGGGAAGAAGGAGGACGGUACCUGACUAAGAAGCCCCGGCUAACUACGUGCCAGCAGCCGCGGUAAUACGCAGGGGGCAAGGGUUAUCCGGAUUUACUGGGUGUAAAGGGGGCGCAGGCGGCAGCGCAAGCCAGGAGUGAAAGCCCGGGGCCCAACCCCGGGACUGCUCUUGGAACUGCGCGGCUGGAGUGCAGGAGGGGCAGGCGGAAUUCCUGGUGUAGCGGUGAAAUGCGUAGAUAUCAGGAGGAACACCGGUGGCGAAGGCGGCCUGCUGGACUGCGACUGACGUUGAGGCCCGAAAGCGGGGGGAGCAAACAGGAUUAGAUACCCCUGUA